Molecule: long non-coding RNA, 5322 nt
Filed under: Oryza brachyantha (malo sina)
Lineage: Eukaryota; Viridiplantae; Streptophyta; Magnoliopsida; Poales; Poaceae
Description: long non-coding RNA (OBRA_LNC003082)
Source: RNAcentral
AUAUAUAUAUAUAUUCUAAUUAAGUUGUGGAAGAACACCAUAGGUACAAUUACCGAUAUACGAGUAAUAAAGUAAACUAGCAGUUCACAGCUUACAAUCAAUCAGGGGUUACGGGAUGGGCAUGGUGUGUAGCAGGGUGGCCGCGGACCGUACGGAUAUUGAAGCAAAACCCGGCCGGCGGAGGCCAUCGCUGGCGCGUCCUGCAGCGCCGCCAGCACCAGAAGCAUCAGCGCGAGGAGCACCACCUGCCGGCCGAGGGACGCCGCCAUCGCCAUCGCCGACGACUACUGCUUGUUUCUAGCUAGUGAUCUAAAUUUUCAGGCUCACAGAUCCUAGCUGCUUUCUAUCUUGCUUCACUGUAAGAGUAGGAUAAGCUGCGGUUGCUUCACGGCAGGCCGGCCGGGGUUAUCCAGCCAAGUGGCCCUCUGGAAUUUAGUUUUGUUUUGUUUUCCACUGGCACAUGCGAGACUAUCCUUUGACUAGCUAGGUUAUUUCAGACCAUAUAUUAGUUCUGAUAUAUCAAAUUAUUUAAAGAAAUCGACAAAAUUUUAAAUUUCUAGAAAAUAAUAUUCCACAGACAACACUAGGAACAAGUCAUGCACAACUUUGAUAUAUGAAGUUUAGCUCAUGGAUAACAAGUGAAUUUUCUUUUCUUUUCUUUUUUUUUUCUUUCUUUUUUGGUGUGGCUUCUCUCUUUUUUUUUGUAUUUUUAACACCUUUCUGCCAUUUCUAUUUUUACGAUUUUCUUUAUUUUUUUACCACAACUGACCAAGAACCAAAAUGCAAAGCUACAUUGACUCAAAUGUAAAUAUCAAAAAUUACAGGGACCUAAUUGUAAAAUUGUCAUCCAAAAUUUUUUUCCCUAGAAAAAUGGAAUCCUAACAACAACCAGACGAUUCCGUUUUUAGCAACAAAUAAAAAUUUUCCAAAGCUACGUGGAAAGUCACACUAUAUAUCUAAACCGAGAACACGAGAACAGAGAGGUAGCGCAAGUGGAACUGGUAAAAGGGAAAAAUCACGUGGGACGGUGGGAGUGGGGCUGGCUGUAGACCGAAACAAACCAACUUUGGUGGUAGAUGGAAACAAACCAACUGAUCUUAAUCGUCGAAACUUCCUCCAAAAAACCGAUCUGUUAUAGCGAGUCAAUCAGAUGUGCUAUCUCGUCCUUCUUCCUCCUCACGUGCACCAACAGAAACAAGGCACAAGUAAACUGUAAACCGUAAUACUAAUGCAACUCCAAAACCGACCAAUAAGAAGUGCCCGAAACAAGAAAAACGGAACUCUCGCAAUGACGCAAUUCUGUUUUUCGAAGAUCCUGACAACAACUUAACGCGACGGUGAAGGUGGUAAAAAAACGUGCCAAGAACUUGAAACUCUAAACGACUAGAUGCAAACACUCGUAGAUUAACACAACUGAUGCAAUCGAAAACUCAACAAACCCUAACUAAGUAGUACCAGUAAAAGGCUCAAUGGUUUAUGGGAUCACGGAAAAACUAAUCUACUAAUAGAUAUUUGUUUGGGCCAUUUUUGGACCGUAGGUAUAAGAAAAUUACGAAACAAAUGAAAAUCUCUCACCGAGCAACUUGAGCUCUGAUACCCCUGAUCUUUCGAUGAGAAUGAUAAGUCGAUUGGAUGGAGCGACAUUGUGCAAUCCAACUAUAACUAUGCAGGGAUAUUGCCCUUAGCAAUUAUUACACCAACUCCAGAGACAGUCGUAAAUCUCGACGGAUGCACGAUCGGUCCAACCACGAGGGUAUUUGUUCCUGCAAGCAAUCGAGAACUAGCAAAAACAAGCUGAACAAACAAUUGAAUUUGCAAAUUAAAGAUGAUAGACAAGUUGAACAAGUGGGGUUCAGUAAAAAGCAAUCCGACGAUCUAACCGAUCACGAGAUUAACUCGGCAAAGUAGCGAUGCUAUACUUUGACCUAAACAAACCCGAUUAUUCUUGGUGGCGGCAGAGGGUCUGGGGUCGUUCUCUAACCCUACAUCGCGCCCCUAAUGGACCCAACUUAAUACAUGACCCAUUGGGCCCAAAGAAGGUGACGCAACACCAUGGAUAGAAAAAGACUCAGUAGUAAAAUGCAGAUUGCGGCCGCUCCAGAAUUGAUAUGGAUAUGGGGUUCGAUCCAUUUGAAAGUAGACUUGUCAAGCUUUCCAUGAGGUACUUGCGCACCCAAUUAGGAGUUCACAUGAAGUCGUGGCAGCCGUCAAAAGUCCGAAUCCAUCCUGCGCGAAUCGUCUCCCCAUUUAGAUCUCUCUAUUGUUCUUGAGUAAAACAAGAGUGCACGUGUCUCCGAGGUAUAAAAAAGAAGCAUAUGAAUUUAAGAAUGAACGCACCUGAUAGUUAAGUUGAUAUGCAUGAGCGCGGGUAAUAGGACCAUGAAGGUGUACUUGUGGAGGCGUGGAUGUGUAGUUGGUAUUGAUGUCCUCAUCACUCCUUCCCCAUAUAUUUGACAGAUGUUUCACCGUUCGUUUUAUUUAUUUUUUAAAAAAAAUAUAUAAAGCUAUAUAUAUGCAUAAAAAUAUAUUUAAAAAUAACUAAAAUGAUAUAAAUAUAAUUAAUAAUUAUAUAAAUUUUUAAAUAAGAUAAAUAGUUAAAUAUAUAUAAAAAGGUUAAUGACGUCAAAUAUUUAGGGAUAGGGGGUAUAUCCUAAUAAUUAAGUUGUGGAAGAACACAUACUUAGAAUUAAAGAUACACAAGUAAUAAAGUAAGCUAGCUGUUCACAGCUUACAAUCAGGCCGUACGCGGUGUGCAUGGUCUGUAGCAGGACUGAUAUUGAAGCAGAACCCGGCCGGCAGAGGCCAUCGCAGGCUUCUCAUAGUUUACGAUCGGGUUUUGUUUAGAUUAUUUCUAAAAUUACAGUUUUGCCGCUAGAUCGUUUUGUGGAACCCCAGAUUCGAGUGCUUAAUCAUUUAUAUGCAAUUGUGUUGUAAUUUAACUUGUUCUUACUUGUAUUCUUCAGUUCGCAUGCAGGGAUUAACCUUCUCGACGAGGUCAACCGGGUAGUACACAGUUGAUAAUCACAGAAGACGUAGUGCUGUGAUUACAAGGUUCACAUCGUGUUGAUUGAAAGCUGAAUCGUGUGUGUUAAGUUUCCACCAAAUUAAAGUUAUCAAUAACUAUUGGAACAUCAGGACCUACUUUCCUCAUCAAAAGGCCAUGAGGCUGUACAAACCUCCGUAUGGACUUAAACGGGCCCCAAGAGCAUGGAACCCAAUGUUGGAUGCCACUCUACUGGAAAUGGGAUUUGUGAGUCCCUUUUAGCAUGCUAUCUACGGGAGAAAGACGUGUGGAGGUAUGUUAGUUGUGGGGGGUGUAUGUGGAUGAUUUGGUAAUCAGUGGCUCCCAACUUCAGGAAACAAAAGUUCAAGUCAGGAAUGCAACAUGAAUUCAGUAUGAGUGAUUUGGGGCUGCUCAGUUUCAACUUGGUAAUGCAGGUGCAGAAGAAUGACAAAGGCACUGGUUUGUGUCAGUCUUCAUAUGCACUAAAUAUUCUGAAGAAAGCUAGUACGGAGGGUUGUAAACCCUGUCAUGUGCCAAUGGAAGCCAGGCUGAUGCUGGGUAAAAAAGUUCAAAUUCACCAGUAGAUGCAACUGAAUACAAAAGUAUUAUUGGUAGUCUCAGAUACUUAAUCAAUUCAAGGAGAAGCCAACUACAGAGCACCUAGCUACAGCCAAACAUCUGUUGAGGUAUGUACCUGGUAGUUUGAACUGGGGAUGUUGGUAUGGCAGAAAGGGAGCAAGUGACCGGAUUAUUUUUGGACACUGUGACAGUGAUAUGGACGGUGAUGUUGAUGAUAGGAUGAGCACCACUGGCGUAUUUUUUCUUAUUACGACAAAAUCUGAUCAAUUGACAGUCUAAGAAACAGAAGAUUGUAGCAUUGUCUUCUUGUGAGGCAGAAUAUGUGGUAGCAACAGCAGCAGUAUGCAAUGGAAUAUGGUUGGCUCGUUUGUUGUCAGAAGUGACUGGGGAAGAUAACGCAUCUGUAGUAGUAAAGAUUGAUAACACUUAUUAGUUAUCAUUGUGCAAGAAUCCAGUACUGCAUCAUCGAAGUAAGCACAUAGACACUCCGUUUCAUUUUUUCCAUGAGUGUGUUGAGAAAAAGGAGAUUGCAGUAGAGUAUGUGCCUACGGAUGAAUAGAUUGCAGAUAUUCUGACCCAAGUCACUGGUCGUGCCAAGUUUCAGCAAUUGUGAGGCAAGCUUGGUAUGAUCGAGUUGAAGCAACAAGAUUAGGUGGAGUUUGUUAGAUAAUCUAGUUGCUGUUAACUUCAUUUCUGAAUAAUGAUAUGAGUCGUACUGCGUUCACGGCAUGAUUGAGUCGUAGGUUCAGUUCGAGUCUAGCGUAUUUUCAGUUUUCAGUUAGCAGGUUUGAAGCUGCUGCAAUCACUGGGAUCGGUCGUGGGAUGUCGUGGCCUUGUAGGAUCGCAUUGGCAAAAGCGUUGCUUUUCCGUUGUACGCAAUCCCUAUGAUUCAGGGAAUAAAUAAGAAAGAAGAACCAGAAAACCGCUGCACGAUUUGCAGCCUGAAACUCUGGACUUCUUUUUCCCUUCAGUUACUGUAGCUCGCAGGAAAAUCGUUUAGAAACCAAGAUUCAGAGUGAAUCCAUGUUACGUUGAGAGCCACAAAAUACAAAAGAAAGAACGGGAGUACAACUUCCAAAUUAAAUGAAAAAUUUUGCUCGCGUUUGUAGUACGGUAUGUAUGAAAGAGCAACUGAUAUACAUCGAGAUACAUAACAGUAUUGCCACAUAUGUCAUCUGACAACGAGAAACUUUAUUUUCAAAUACUAAUUCGAUCUGAUCGAGGGCUAGCUGAUCGAGAAUAUAUACGUAUCACAUGCAUUCGAACACACGUGUAAUAUAUUAUCCCAAUUAAUUAGUUGCGGAAGAACACCAUACGGAGGAGAAUUACUGAUACUAGCUGCAAGUUGGACCACAGCAUACAAUCAGGGCUUACGCGAUGCGCAUGGCGGGUAGCAGUACGGAUAUUGAAGCAAAACCCGGCCGGCGGAAGCCAUCGCCGGCGCCUCCUGCAGCGCCGCCAGCACCAGCAGCAUCAGCGCGAGGAGCACCACCUGCCGGCCGAGGGACGCCGCUGUCUCCAUCGCCGACGACUCCUGCUUGUUCUGUUGCUAGUGAUCUAAAUUCGCAGAUCCUAGCUGCUUGCUAGCUUGCUUCACUAUAGGAGUAUGAUUUGUACACUGUUUAUAGGAAUAGGAUAAGCUGAGAUUGCUUCACGGCAGGCCGGCCUGGGUUAUCCAGCCAAAUGGCACUCUGGAAUUUAGUUUUGUUUUCCACUAGCACUUCCCAUACCAUCCUUUG